This 253-nucleotide ribosomal RNA is filed under the name uncultured bacterium. RNAcentral describes it as "partial 16S ribosomal RNA". It matches the Rfam family "Bacterial small subunit ribosomal RNA", at positions 524 to 776 of the family's 1533-position model. The record is from RNAcentral.
UACGUAGGGUGCAAGCGUUGUCCGGAAUUAUUGGGCGUAAAGAGCUCGUAUGUGGCGGGUCACGUCGGGGGUGAAAGCCCGGGGCUUAACUCCGGGUCUGCAUUCGAUACGGGUCUGCUGGGGUCCGGCAGGGGAGACUGGAAUUCCUGGUGUAGCGGUGAAAUGCGCAGAUAUCAGGAGGAACACCGGUGGCGAAGGCGGGUCUCUGGGCCGGUACCGACGCUGAGGAGCGAAAGCGUGGGGAGCGAACAGG